Molecule: ribosomal RNA, 253 nt
Filed under: uncultured bacterium
Lineage: Bacteria
Description: partial 16S ribosomal RNA
Rfam family: Bacterial small subunit ribosomal RNA
Source: RNAcentral
UACAGAGGGUGCAAGCGUUGUUCGGAAUUACUGGGCGUAAAGGGCGCGUAGGCGGUUUGGUAAGUCAGAUGUGAAAGCCCGGGGCUCAACCCCGGAAGUGCAUUUGAAACUACCAGACUAGAGUGCAGUAGAGAAUGGCGGAAUUCCCAGUGGAGAGGUGAAAUUCGUAGAUAUUGGGAGGAACACCGGUGGCGAAGGCGGCCAUUUGGGCUGUAACUGACGCUGAGGCGCGAAAGCGUGGGUAGCAAACAGG